AAAAAGCGAAAUAAGGGCACACGGAGGAUGCCUAGGCAACUAAAGCCGAAGAAGGACGUGAUAAGCUGCGAAAAGCUAUGUUAAGGUGCAAGUAACCGCAAUAGACAUAGAUAUCCGAAUGGGAGAACCUGUAUACUGGGAGAGUAUACACGAGAGAGGUAAGUCCGUGAACUGAAACAUCUAAGUAGCGGGAGGAAAAGAAAGUAAAAACGAUUCUCUAAGUAGCGGCGAGCGAACGGGGAAGAGCCUAAACCAUGUAUGUGUAGAAGUUGGCGACGUUGCAUAUAUGGGGUAGAGGGAUAUAGAAUGAACAGAUAGCCAUAAAGUUUAAGUUAUGUUGUAUGAAGCGGAAUUAGUUGGGAAGCUAAACCGAAGAAGGUGACAGUCCUGUAUAGUGUAAGUAUGAUAUAAUGAUAGAUAUAAUCCCGAGUAGCAUCGAACACGAGGAAUUUGGUGUGAAUCAGCGUGGACCAAAUCACGUAAGGCUAAAUACUUUAGUUGACCGAUAGAGGAGAGUACCGUGAGGGAAAGGUGAAAAGAACCCUGAGCAAGGGAGUGAAAAAGAAUUUGAAACCGUGUGCUUACAAGCGGUAGGAGCACAGCAAUGUGUGACUGCGUGGAUUUUGGUUAAUCAUCCUGCGAGUUAUGAUAUGUGGCGAGGUUAAGUAAGCGGAGCCGAAGGGAAACCGAGUCUUAAAAGGGCGACGAGUCGCAUGUCAUAGACGCGAAACCUAGUGAUCUAGGCCUGUCCAGGUUGAAGCUGGGGUAAGACUCAGUGGAGGACCGAACUCACCGCCGUUGAAAAGUUGGGAGAUGAGAUAGGUUUAGGGGUGAAAAGCCAAUCGAACUAGGAGAUAGCUCGUUCUCUCCGAAAUGCAUUUAGGUGCAGCCUUAAUUUAGAUAUGUGGGGGUAGAGCACUGUAUGAUCUAGGGGGCAUAUAGCUUACCGAAAUCAAGCAAACUACGAAUACCAUAUAUUGAUGAUUAGGAGUGAGUCUAUGGAUGACAAGGUCCAUGGACGAGAGGGAAACAACCCAGACCACCGGCUAAGGUCCCAAAUUAUGUCUAAGUGGGAAAGGAGGUGGAUAUUCAUAGACAACCAGGAGGUUGGCUUAGAAGCAGCCAUACCUUAAAAGAGUGCGUAAUAGCUCACUGGUCGAGAGUAUCUGCGCCGAAGAUAUAACGGGGCUAAGACAUAAACCGAAGCUGUGGAAUUAGAGCGAUCUAAUUGGUAGGAGAGCGUUCUGUAGGCCGAAGAAGGUGUACUGGAAGGUAUAUUGGAGGUAUCAGAAGUGAGAAUGCAGGAAUGAGUAGCGAGAAGGAUGGUGAGAAUCCAUCCGGCCGGAAGUCCAAGGUUUCCAGGGGAAGGUUUGUCCGCCCUGGGGGAGUCGGGACCUAAGCAGAGGCUAAGGAGCGUAUGCGAAUGGAAAAUAGGUUAAUAUUCCUAUACCACUAUAAUCGUUAUUAGAGAAGGAGUGACGCAGGAAGGUAUGUAAGAAGACUGACGGAAUAGUCUUUCUAAGGGAGUAGCAUGAAUAUAUAGGCAAAUCCGUAUAUUUAAAUGUGAGACCUGAUGGGUAAGUACCAUAUGGUAUAAGUUACAGAUCCUACACUGCCGAGAAAAACUUCUAUCGAGAGAAGUAGUGCCCGUACUGAAAACCGACACAGGUGGACAGAGUGAGAAACUUAAGGCCGACAGGAUAACUCUAGCUAAGGAACUCUGCAAAAUAGCCCCGUAACUUCGGGAGAAGGGGUACCUAAUAUACUUGAGUGGAGAGACACCACGAGGGGAAAUAGGUCGCAGUGAAGAGUCCCAAGCAACUGUUUACCAAAAACACAGGUCUAUGCUAAGCUGAAAGGCGACGUAUAUGGGCUGACACCUGCCCAGUGCCGGAAGGUUAAGAGGAGGAUUGAGAGAUUCGAAUUGAAGCCCCGGUGAACGGCGGCCGUAACUAUAACGGUCCUAAGGUAGCGAAAUUCCUUGUCGGGUAAGUUCCGACCUGCACGAAUGGUGAAAUGAUUUGGGAGCUGUCUUGGCUGGAGACCUGGUGAAGUUGUAAUGUCGGUGAAGAUACCGAUUACCUGCAGUAGGACGGAAAGACCCCGUGGAGCUUUACUGUAGCUUGGCAUUGGGUUUUGGCAAUGUGUGUAUAGGAUAGUUGGGAGACUGAGAUACUAAGGCGUCAGUUUUAGAGGAGUCAACGUUGGAAUACCAACCAUAUGUUGUUGAAAUUCUAAUCAUGUAUUUGUAGUAUAUGAGACAGUGCUAGGUGGGCAGUUUGACUGGGGCGGUCGCCUCCAAAAGAGUAACGGAGGCGUUCAAAGGUUCCCUCAGGUUGGAUGGAAAUCAACCGGAGAGUGCAAACGCAAAAGGGAGCUUGACUGCGAGACUGACGGGUCGAGCAGGUACGAAAGUAGGAGUUAGUGAUCCGGCGGUGCUGAAUGGAAAGGCCGUCGCUCAACGGAUAAAAGCUACCCCGGGGAUAACAGGCUGAUACUUCCCAAGAGUCCAUAUCGACGGAAGUGUUUGGCACCUCGAUGUCGGCUCGUCUCAUCCUGGGGCUGGAGAAGGUCCCAAGGGUUGGGCUGUUCGCCCAUUAAAGAGGCACGCGAGCUGGGUUCAGAACGUCGUGAGACAGUUCGGUCCCUAUCCACUGCAGGCGUUAGAAUAUUGAAGAGAUCUGUCCUUAGUACGAGAGGACCGGGAUGGACAAACCUCUGAUGUACCGGUUGUUACGCCAGUAGCAUGGCCGGGUAGUCACGUUUGGAAGGGAUAAUCGCUGAAAGCAUCUAAGUGAGAAGCCCACUUUAAGAUGAGUAUUCUUUUAAGUAACCAUCGAGAACAGGUGGUGAUAGGCUGGAGGUGUAAGUACAGUAAUGUAUUUAGCUGACCGGUACUAAUAUUACGUUAGCUCUUUAUUU
This is a ribosomal RNA of 2922 nucleotides. It matches the Rfam family "Bacterial large subunit ribosomal RNA". The record is from Rfam.